This 581-nucleotide unclassified non-coding RNA is filed under the name Hevea brasiliensis (rubber tree). The record is from RNAcentral. Lineage: Eukaryota; Viridiplantae; Streptophyta; Magnoliopsida; Malpighiales; Euphorbiaceae.
AUUAAAGAACGCUUUACUUCGGGUCUUCAAUUCAGAAAAGGCACCAUGGAAAGGUAAUGUCAUUCUCAAUUCCAUUAGCAGUUACCUUAAUUCUCUCCUUGGGAUUUCUUUUGUUCAUGUUCUGCGGGAAGCAAAUAAUGUUGCACGAAGAAUUCAUGUCGCUUUUUUUGGUUGAAUUGGGUGGUGGAGCCUUCAGGUUCUUUUGCCUACCCAAUUGGAACCAUGUUUCAUCCUGGAGGCCUGAUGUUUUGGUUAUUUUGCUCACUCAUGCUAUUGCCUUUUUGGCUCUUUGUUUCCUUUUCUUUUGUCGGUUCCUUGUGCUCUGUUCUUUUGCUGCGUUUGUAUUUAUGGCUGCUUUGGAGUUUUUGGUGUUAUAGUUGCUUUUGUACUGGUUUCAUUUCAUCUUUUGUUUCGUAUAUUUUCAGGUUUUUUCACUUGGCAUUCAUUGUUAUACGCUGGGUGUAAUGUUGAAGUUUGAUAACCGGUUAGUAAUUGGAUAAUAUUUGCUAAGUAUUUUCUGGAUAUUUGAUUAAUAAAAAUAAUUUGCUUAUAAAAAUAAUUCUUGAAAAAAAAGAAAGAAA